UGGCGGCGUGCCUAAUACAUGCAAGUCGAGCGAACUGAUUAGAAGCUUGCUUCUAUGACGUUAGCGGCGGACGGGUGAGUAACACGUGGGCAACCUGCCUGUAAGACUGGGAUAACUUCGGGAAACCGAAGCUAAUACCGGAUAGGAUCUUCUCCUUCAUGGGAGAUGAUUGAAAGAUGGUUUCGGCUAUCACUUACAGAUGGGCCCGCGGUGCAUUAGCUAGUUGGUGAGGUAACGGCUCACCAAGGCAACGAUGCAUAGCCGACCUGAGAGGGUGAUCGGCCACACUGGGACUGAGACACGGCCCAGACUCCUACGGGAGGCAGCAGUAGGGAAUCUUCCGCAAUGGACGAAAGUCUGACGGAGCAACGCCGCGUGAGUGAUGAAGGCUUUCGGGUCGUAAAACUCUGUUGUUAGGGAAGAACAAGUACGAGAGUAACUGCUCGUACCUUGACGGUACCUAACCAGAAAGCCACGGCUAACUACGUGCCAGCAGCCGCGGUAAUACGUAGGUGGCAAGCGUUAUCCGGAAUUAUUGGGCGUAAAGCGCGCGCAGGCGGUUUCUUAAGUCUGAUGUGAAAGCCC
RNAcentral lists this ribosomal RNA (585 nucleotides) under Firmicutes bacterium TH-S57. RNAcentral's name for it is "bacterial SSU rRNA". It matches the Rfam family "Bacterial small subunit ribosomal RNA", at positions 37 to 603 of the family's 1533-position model. The record is from RNAcentral. Lineage: Bacteria; Bacillati; Bacillota.